Molecule: ribosomal RNA, 468 nt
Filed under: uncultured bacterium
Lineage: Bacteria
Description: partial 16S ribosomal RNA
Rfam family: Bacterial small subunit ribosomal RNA
Source: RNAcentral
GACGAACGCUGGCGGCGUGCUUAACACAUGCAAGUCGAACGGAAAGGCCCUGCUUUUGUGGGGUGCUCGAGUAGCGAACGGGUGAGUAACACGUGAGUAACCUGCCCUUGACUUUGGGAUAACUUCAGGAAACUGGGGCUAAUACCGGAUAGGAGCUCCUGCUGCAUGGUGGGGGUUGGAAAGUUUCGGAGGUUGGGGAUGGACUCGCGGCUUAUCAGCUUGUUGGUGGGGUAGUGGCUUACCAAGGCUUUGACGGGUAGCCGGCCUGAGAGGGUGACCGGCCACAUUGGGACUGAGAUACGGCCCAGACUCCUACGGGAGGCAGCAGUGGGGAAUAUUGCACAAUGGGCGGAAGCCUGAUGCAGCAACGCCGCGUGCGGGAUGACGGCCUUCGGGUUGUAAACCGCUUUCGCCUGUGACGAAGCGUGAGUGACGGUAAUGGGUAAAGAAGCACCGGCUAACUACGUG